UCAAAAUGCUAUCCUGGUUGCUAGGGUUGAUCUUACCUUACCAUUUCAAGAUCAAGGCUAAGAUAAUGGGACUGCAACAAGCAAGCAACAAUGGAUAAAUAUGUUUCUGAUGAAUCCAUUUGACAUAUCACUGAUUAUUUGCUGUGUAUAUUUUUAGGUUGAACUAUAAUGAGUCGUCAUAUUCUAACCAGAGGGCUGUUGAGGUUGGGAAGCAGCAUUUCACCAGUAACUAUAAGGCUAGGCAGCAAUGUUAUCCAGCUACAUGCAUGUGUCAUCCUCGUCAUCUUUUUUGCCAAAUCGGGCCCUCAAAACGCGGCUGAUGGAACUCACUAAUGGCAACAAAAAGAAGGAUACAAAAAUGGCACAGGAAAAGUUUUCACAUGAAGCAGCAGCGUUUGGAGAAAAAUAUUCAUCACAGGGAGCAAAUGUUAUGAACUGACGGAGCACUGAAGCCACAUUUCAACAGGACAUGUACAUGUAAUAUAGUUAUGUCUCUGUGGGUUUGCUUACAGAGACGCUUUAUUAUCAGUAACAUGUUGAAUUCAAAGUGACGUUCAUUGAGAGGUGAUGCUGCGGUGUUCGCUGGUAGUAAGGGAAAAAAAAG
Long non-coding RNA from Gambusia affinis (western mosquitofish), 604 nucleotides. RefSeq lists it as uncharacterized. The transcript is spliced from 3 exons. The record is from RefSeq and is a predicted model, not a curated record. Lineage: Eukaryota; Metazoa; Chordata; Actinopteri; Cyprinodontiformes; Poeciliidae.